Molecule: ribosomal RNA, 465 nt
Filed under: uncultured bacterium
Lineage: Bacteria
Description: bacterial SSU rRNA
Rfam family: Bacterial small subunit ribosomal RNA
Source: RNAcentral
UCUACGGGCGGCACCAGUGGGGAAUAUUGCACAGUGGGCGCAAGCCCGAUGCAGCCAUGCCGCGUGUAUGAAGAAAGCCUUAGGGUUGUAAAGUACUUUCAGUUGGGAGGAAGGCGUUGAUGCUAAUAUCAUCAGCGAUUGACGUUACCGACAGAAGAAGCACCGGCUAACUCCGUGCCAGCAGCCGCGGUAAUACGGAGGGUGCAAGCGUUAAUCGGAAUUACUGGGCGUAAAGCGCACGCAGGCGGUUGAUUAAGUUAGAUGUGAAAUCCCCGGGCUUAACCUGGGAAUGGCAUCUAAGACUGGUCAGCUAGAGUCUUGUAGAGGGGGGUAGAAUUCCAUGUGUAGCGGUGAAAUGCGUAGAGAUGUGGAGGAAUACCGGUGGCGAAGGCAGCCCCCUGGACAAAGACUGACGCUCAGGUGCGAAAGCGUGGGGAGCAAACAGGAUUAGAUACCCUAGUAGUC